Long non-coding RNA from Rhinichthys klamathensis goyatoka, 568 nucleotides. RefSeq lists it as uncharacterized. The transcript has 2 exons. Lineage: Eukaryota; Metazoa; Chordata; Actinopteri; Cypriniformes; Leuciscidae. The record is from RefSeq and is a predicted model, not a curated record.
CUUCAUGUGCCAUGAGGACCUCUCUGCCCAAAGCAUAUUGUUUGGGGAAAGCAGAUAGUUCACCUGCCACUGCAUCAAUUGGUUUAGGUUUUGUAAAUGUAGCUGUCAGUGUUUCUUGCUGCUCCACUGAUAACUGUAAUAGUGCCAAUCUUUCUGGUGAGUAAAACCCUUCCAAAAUUAAAGAUUCUAUUCACAUUAUGAUAGAUCAUUGUCAAAUCACAUUUAUUUGAUCAAUUCAUUUUAUUAAAUAUAUAAUCAAUUAAUAUACACCCUUACUUUAUAGAACCCAACAAUGCCCCAAAUGGAUUAACAUGUGUUUCAUGUAACACUGUGACAGAUAUACAGUGUAAAACUACAGUGUCCUGUGUAGGAAUCCAGGACCGCUGCCUUGAUAAUACAGGUAAUGUGGGAAACAUCAUAGCGAUCCUUUUCCCUUCCCUUCAACAUGCUACACUCAAGGGUUGUGUCUCAAGAAAUCUUUGUGGACCUACAUCUAUCACCAAGUUCAACUGCUUUAGCAAUUCAGUGUAUCCAGCCAUCACAAAUACAGACUUCAGUGUUCUUCUGA